RNAcentral lists this ribosomal RNA (407 nucleotides) under uncultured bacterium. RNAcentral describes it as "partial 16S ribosomal RNA". It matches the Rfam family "Bacterial small subunit ribosomal RNA", at positions 30 to 526 of the family's 1533-position model. The record is from RNAcentral.
AUUGAACGCUGGCGGCAGGCCUAACACAUGCAAGUCGAGCGGACCGGCGGACGGGUGAGUAAUACCUAGGAAUCUGUCUGUUCGUGGGGGAUAACGUCCGGAAACGGGCGCUAAUACCGCAUACUCUCAGUUGAGCCUAGGUCGUAUUAGCUAGUUGGUGGGGUAAAGGCCUACCAAGGCGACGAUCCGUAACUGGUCUGAGAGGAUGAUCAGUCACACUGGAACUGAGACACGGGCCAGACUCCUACGGUAGGCAGCAGUGGGGAAUAUUGGAUAAUGGGCGAAAGCCGGAUCCAGCCAUGCCGCGUGUGUUAAGAAGGUCUUCGGAUUGUAAAGCACUUUAAGUUGGGAGGCGUUACCAACAGAAUAAGCACCGGCUAACUUCGUGCCAGCAGCCGCGGUAAUUC